This is a long non-coding RNA of Canis lupus familiaris (dog), 2225 nucleotides long. RefSeq lists it as uncharacterized. The transcript has 4 exons. NCBI's taxonomy places the organism in Eukaryota, Metazoa, Chordata, Mammalia, Carnivora, Canidae. The record is from RefSeq and is a predicted model, not a curated record.
CUGCCCGGAGUUAAACUUCGUUGAUGGUGCACUGCAAAGGCAGAGGCAAGGGAACAAAGUCUCUAAUAGUGGUCAGAACAAUUUGCAGAAAGCUCAUUUUCCCCUUUAUUCUGGUUUAUACCUCAGAGGCAAAGAUGGGCUGUCUGAGGACAGACAGGAAAUGUGACUCAAGCUAAGGAUCCAGCCCCAACCUGCCAUCCCUCCUUGCUUCUUCUCACGGAUUCUUUGAAAUUCUUUGAAAGAAUUGGGACAGAGGAAAGAAGAAGGGGAGGGAAGAGGGAAACGAAGUCCUAUGCAGCCAGAGCUCAGCCUGCUGGGAGGUGGAGUGAGCUGGGGACUGCUGGGUAGAGUUGGAAACCUGGGCCACAAAGGAAAGAAGUCAAGGCUGAUCUGCUGAGACUCUUUGCUGUAACAUGUGACCUGACAGCCAGCCCCAGCCACCAGACAUGUGAGUGACACCAUCUGAGACCAUCCAGGUCCAGUCCAUCUGCCAGAUAUCUGCGGCUAUAAUCCAGAUAUGGGGAGGAAGAAGAAGAAUUCUACAGAAGCUGCAGAUCCUGAGUGGAGCAAACAUGGAUGACCAUCAGCCAUGGGCCAAGUGCUAGAAUGCUAGAAUGCUAGAAAGCAGGAAAACACAAGAAAGUCAAAAGAGGAUAUUUAUCUGGGCUGAGAGGAUAAAGAAACACUAAAUCACUGAGCCUAGAAACAAAAUGAAGCAUCAGCAACUGUCUUAAGCAGCUCUGCCUUAACCCCUUCUCCAGCUGAACGCUUUUCACCAUAUCAUUGCUAUUCUUGAAUCCAGAACAUGGCUGCCAUGGCUUUUAGCCUUUGUAUGGAGGUCCAUUUGUCAGAACUUAGUUCCUUCUGGCUCACCUGGUUGAGCCUGGGGGUGUAGGCGGUUCUUGAGGGAAGCACAAGAUUUCCAUGGUGUCUGAGCUCCUGGUUUGCUAUUUCUCUCUGGUCAUAAGCUGAGCUGGACCCAAAUCUCUGUGCCCUUAUUUACCCUUUUGCCACAGCCUGCCCUUGCCUAGGACUGGGUCGGUGUCCUGGACUUCCUCCUGGGGAGGGAAUCCCCUCUCUUCCUGACCCCACAACCCCAUUUCUUAGAAAAGAGACUGACAGAAGUAGGUAAGCUGUAGAAGCAGAGAUGUGGACACCCUCUACCCCAUGGGUUUCUCUGAUCUGGAAGUCUGUGAGCCUUACCUCCUCCCUACCGUACUCCUGCCCCCACACUCUUUUCUGGAAAACAUUCCAGUUCUUAUUUAUGCCCAUCCAUAAAUAAGAAGUCCACACCCCAGGAAGACCAGUGGGGUUGGGAGCCCCUGGGGACUAUUGCCUGAUCAGACCAGGCUGGUCCCUACCGGGACACCCCUGGCUCAUUGGCAUGCCCACCCUGAUCAGACAGCUCCUGGCCUGGGGACCACGCUCCGGAUGCUUUCUGAUUCCUCUCUUUGGUGGCAUUCUUGUCACCUAUACUGGCUGCUGCACAGCAAUGGGGGCCACUGUCACUCAAGGCCCUGGGAACAUUCCACCCACAAAACCCCCUGAACUGCUACUGUCACUUGACCAUCCUACUCCUUCUCAAAAGCAAUUGCCACAUGGUCUACGUCCAUGGCAGGAACUCAGAAGAAGAUUAUUUGGCAGUAUAGACAGGUGACAAGAUGACAGGAGGAAUAUUUUUAUUCAGGUAGUAAAAUAAAAGAAAUGCCAGGGAGUAGAAGCUGAAUUAGCAAGAGGAGGGGAAGGGAAAGGAAGAGGAACAAAGGGAGGAUGAUGAAAGUGCUAGAAUAAGAGGGACACAGGCCUAGUGAGGACCCUGCCCUGGUACUCGAAAGAGCAGCUGGUCUACAGAAGCCUUGUCUUCAAAUUCUAGACCCAAGGGCAGAGGAGGAACUGGGCAGGCCCCAGAAAGCUUCUGAAUGUACUUAAUGACACUGAAUUGCACAUCUAAAAAUGAUCAAAUUGGGGGUGCCUGGGAGGCUCAGUUGGUUGGGCACCUGCCUUCGGCUCAGCUCAUGAUCUCAGGGUCCUGGGAUGGAGUCCCACAUGGGGGUCCCUGCUCAGCAAGGGCCUUCUUCUCUCUCUGCCUCUGCCUCCACCUCCCCCUGCCUCGUGCUCUUUCUUAUUCUCCCUCAAAUGAAGAAAUAAAAUCUUGAAUGAAUGGAUAAAUGAAUAAAUAAAUGUAUGUAAAAAUAAAUGUUAAAUAAAUAAAUAAAUAAAUAAGA